CGGGGACAAAGAGACAGUCGGUGCAUGCCUGUCGUCAGCUCGUGUCGUGAGAUGUCUGGUUAAGUCCCCCAACGACGGCAACCCCCGUUAAUAGUAGCCAGCAUUAAGUUGGGCACUCUAUUGAGACUGCGGGUGGCAACCCGGAGGAAGGUGGGGAUGACGUCAUGUCAUCAUGCCCCUUAUGACCUGGGCUACACACGUGUGACAAUGGGCACUACACCGAGAGGCGAACCUGUGAAGGCAAGCGGAUCUCUUAAAGCUGUUCUCAGUUUGGACUGUAGGCUGCAACUCGCCUACCCGAAGCUGGAAUCGCUAGUAAUCGCGGAUCAGCACGCCGCGGUGAAUACGUUCCCGGGCCUUGUACACACCGCCCGUCACCCCAUGAGAGUUUGUAACCCCCAAAGUCGGUGAGGUAACCUUUGGACCCAGCCGCCUAAGGUGGGACAGAUGAUUAGGGU
RNAcentral lists this ribosomal RNA (458 nucleotides) under uncultured bacterium. RNAcentral's name for it is "bacterial SSU rRNA". It matches the Rfam family "Bacterial small subunit ribosomal RNA", at positions 1021 to 1481 of the family's 1533-position model. The record is from RNAcentral.